RNAcentral lists this ribosomal RNA (450 nucleotides) under uncultured bacterium. RNAcentral describes it as "partial 16S ribosomal RNA". It matches the Rfam family "Bacterial small subunit ribosomal RNA", at positions 354 to 796 of the family's 1533-position model. The record is from RNAcentral.
GUGGGGAAUAUUGGACAAUGGGCGAAAGCCUGAUCCAGCCAUGCCGCGUGUGUGAAGAAGGCCUUCGGGUUGUAAAGCACUUUAAGCGAGGAGGAAGGUUCGUCACCUAAUACGUGACGGAAUUGACGUUACUCGCAGAAUAAGCACCGGCUAACUCUGUGCCAGCAGCCGCGGUAAUACAGAGGGUGAAAGCGUUAAUCGGAAUUACUGGGCGUAAAGCGCGCGUAGGCGGUUGUGUAAGUUGGAUGUGAAAUCCCCGGGCUUAACCUGGGCACUGCAUUCAAAACUGCACGGCUAGAGUAUUGGAGAGGAAGGUAGAAUUCCAGGUGUAGCGGUGAAAUGCGUAGAGAUCUGGAGGAAUACCGAUGGCGAAGGCAGCCUUCUGGCCAAAUACUGACGCUGAGGUGCGAAAGCAUGGGGAGCAAACAGGAUUAGAAACCCGAGUAGUCC